This is a long non-coding RNA of Bubalus bubalis (water buffalo), 1070 nucleotides long. RefSeq lists it as uncharacterized. Lineage: Eukaryota; Metazoa; Chordata; Mammalia; Artiodactyla; Bovidae. The record is from RefSeq and is a predicted model, not a curated record. The transcript is spliced from 3 exons.
GGAGGCGCCCCCGACCCGGGCCGGCCCUGGAUCUGGCGCUGUGUCCCCGCCCGUCCUGCAGACGCGGCCCUGGCAACUUUUAAAUCCGCCCCCAGGAAAGCAGAGGGAUCCUCUCUUCUGCAGUCUUCUACUUGAAGAUGGUCUGAAAAUACUGGUUCUGAGAAGAAGAGUCUCAGAAUCAUGAUCAAUGAGAACUUGAGAGGCCAAACCUCAAGACAGUGACAGACUGGGGGCUCAGACAAAAUGUUUUAAGUUUCUGAAGGCCCCUCAUUGAAGAGGUACAAUGGGACCAAGAGCAUCAUACGACACAGUCACUCUGUGUGGACACUCCCCUAUCCCCCCCAAUUUCUUCUAAGUCUACUUACUUGUUCAAAAGCAUGUUGAGGGAAUGAGGUUAAUUUUUGUUAAUUCUGGUAGUUGCAGAACAUUCCAGUCCGAGAGUUCCUCAUUUCCUUUAGAAAGUCUAUAGACAUCUAGAAUAGAUCUAUUUCACAAAUUGGUCCCAGUAUUUCUCUGCAACCUAAGAGUCCAAGGACUGAGGGUGUUCUGGAGCCAGUCUACCACAAGCUACAACUCAGGCUCGUGUCAGAUUUUACCUUUUCUGACCAACCUCCAGAAAUUGAGACAGAGGGAAGCAUUCAACUUCUGCUAGAAAGUGAUAAGUGUAAAUCUGCAAAACCUCAAGUACUUAACACUGGCUGAAACUCUGACUUCAGGUGCUAUAAAAUCUACAAGGCAAAAACCUCAUGAGUUUAAAGUUAUUAUAAGAACUCAAUAUUCAACUAAGGAAUAAAAGGUAGAGUUGUGCUUGAUAACUCUAAAAUUCGAAAAUGAAGCUAAAGAAGAAACAUUUCCUCAAGGAAGUUUUUUUUAAUGAUAUGCAACUUAGUAUGCUUAUAUUUUACCUGUAGCUUCCAUUAAAAAGGUCUUAAAAUUACCAUAAUCCUGGGAAAGAAGUUGUUGUGCCUUGUAAGCCCUUCCAGGUUUUAUUAUUUACCCUUUUGUUGAAGGUACAUAAAUAGGGAAGGAUUUUUCACUUAAGGAACACUGAUUAAAAGUUAAAAUAUUUA